RNAcentral lists this small nucleolar RNA (156 nucleotides) under Pyrenochaeta sp. DS3sAY3a. RNAcentral's name for it is "Small nucleolar RNA snR80". It matches the Rfam family "Small nucleolar RNA snR80". The record is from Rfam by way of RNAcentral. Lineage: Eukaryota; Fungi; Ascomycota; Dothideomycetes; Pleosporales; Cucurbitariaceae.
UACACUUCACCAACACUCUGGCCCUUACUUCCAGUCUUCGGACUGGACCCAUGGCAUGGGCCUAUUUUGGUGUGAAGAAGAGGAACGAACCCAUUACUCACCGCGGUAGUCUUGCCUUUGGUUUGGCUUCAGCGGUCCAUCUUUUAGGGUCGACAU